Molecule: transfer RNA, 82 nt
Filed under: Babesia microti strain RI
Lineage: Eukaryota; Apicomplexa; Aconoidasida; Piroplasmida; Babesiidae
Rfam family: tRNA
About the family: Transfer RNA (tRNA) molecules are approximately 80 nucleotides in length.
Source: Rfam by way of RNAcentral
GGCAGCUUGGCCGAGUGGUUAAGGCGACAGACUCGAAAUCUGUUGGGCUCUGCCCGCGCAGGUUCGAAUCCUGCAGCUGUCG